Molecule: ribosomal RNA, 405 nt
Rfam family: Bacterial small subunit ribosomal RNA
UGGGGGAUAUUGCGCAAUGGGGGAAACCCUGACGCAGCAACGCCGCGUGAAGGAUGAAGGCCUUCGGGUUGUAAACUUUUUUGAUUAGGGAAGAAACAAAUGACGGUACCUAAAAAACAAGCCACGGCUAACUACGUGCCAGCAGCCGCGGUAAUACGUAGGUGGCAAGCGUUGUCCGGAUUUACUGGGUGUAAAGGGCGUGUAGGCGGGCUUUUAAGUUGGAUGUGAAAUCUUUGGGCUUAACCCAAAAACUGCAUUCAAAACUGAUAGUCUAGAGUGUCGGAGAGGAAAGCGGAAUUCCUAGUGUAGCGGUGAAAUGCGUAGAUAUUAGGAGGAACACCGGUGGCGAAGGCGGCUUUCUGGACGAUAACUGACGCUGAGGCGCGAAAGCGUGGGGAGCAAACA